RNAcentral lists this ribosomal RNA (329 nucleotides) under uncultured eukaryote. RNAcentral's name for it is "partial 18S ribosomal RNA". It matches the Rfam family "Eukaryotic small subunit ribosomal RNA", at positions 1470 to 1796 of the family's 1831-position model. The record is from RNAcentral.
CCCUUAGAUGUCCUGGGCCGCACGCGCGCUACACUGAGUGUCUGAGAUACGAGUCUGCCUGGUCCGGCAAGGUCUAGGUAAUCGCUAAAAGACACAUCAUGCUUGGGAUAGAUUAUUGCAAAUAUUAAUCUUGAACGAGGAAUUCCUAGUAAGCGCAAGUCAACAGCUUGCGUUUAUUACGUCCCUGCCCUUUGUACACACCGCCCGUCGCUACUACUGAUUGGAUGUUUAAGCGAGGUUCUCGUACUGCUAGCGACUUAGCUUCGGUGAGGUCGCAGUGUGGGAAGUGAACCUAGCUUUGGUGUCUAGAGGAAGUAAAAGUCGUAACA